Mugil cephalus (flathead mullet) is the source of this 3858-nucleotide long non-coding RNA. RefSeq lists it as uncharacterized. Lineage: Eukaryota; Metazoa; Chordata; Actinopteri; Mugiliformes; Mugilidae. The record is from RefSeq and is a predicted model, not a curated record. The transcript has 3 exons.
GCUCUGCUCAGUUAGUUAGGGAAAGACACUCAGCCACCAGAGCUCAAGAAAAGGUGUAUCAGAUAGUGCACAUCAUCAUGUGGAGCAAGUCGGGGCUUCCACCACUUGAGCAGGGAUGCCGUUUUACCCUAUUUAUUUAUGUAUGCAACAUUUAAAUUCCAAGACACAAUCUAAAGAUGUUCUGAGCUGUAUAAAAGUUUGAUAGAGGAGACGAGCAUUUAAUAAGGCUUCACAGGGUGUUUUUGGAAGGAGAGACAAGACUCUUUUUCUUUUUUUUUUCAUAAGCUUUGCGGAAUAAAGACAAAAGGAGGAUGGAAACAUUUCCAUGAAUCAGCUCUGUUACCCUCCCACCCCGAUCAACCCAUCAACUGACUCCAUUCUUCAACUUGACAUCAUCCUUCCACACAGACAAGAAGAAGAAGAAGAAGAGGAGGAGGAGGAGGAGGAGGAGGAGAGAGAAGCAGAGGUGCGGAGGCAAACAGACGUGAAAGAGGAGGAAGAGCAGAGAGGAGGUGGGCAGUACAGUUUCAGCUCUCACAAGGCUGAGGAGGAGAAAGUGACAGCAGCAAGAACUUGGCCACUAGUGAGAUGAAAUUUGGGGAGGAGACGCUGGAGCGCUGCGGGAGACAACAUCCAACGAGAGCCCUGAAAUUGGACCGCCUGGGAGACGAGCCAGCCCUCUCUGGAUCCCACGCCACGCCACAGCCGAAGGAUGAGCGGGGUCGACUUUCACCUUAGUUGCCAGGGAUGUCUGUGCACUACGGAAAGGAGUCCCCCCCCAGCAUGUCCAAUGCUAUGUUAUUCCUGAUGCUUUGCAAGGUGGAUUCAACACAGAGAGCACAGUGUAAACAGAAAGCAAAACACAUGCCAAUGCAACUAAAAGAUUGGUCGGAGACGGAAACUGCAGACUUUUCCUGGGAAAAUGGUAAACACUGUCUACAGUGAUGAGGAAAAGGGAAUCCAAGACAAGGAAAGUAAGGAGGAGUCCAUCUUGGCCAUGUUGGGCAUCAUUGGGACCAUUCUCAACUUGGUAGUCAUCAUCUUUGUCUACAUCUACACCACCUUGUAGCUCUCAGACUCUUAUCAGCGGGCAGGGCGGGGCAUAUCUGAGCCGCUUUAGCCAUGGUGACUGGUGUGGAGGUACAAAUGGGAGGAACAAGGAAGAGGCUGAACUCACCCAGUGGUGAACUGGAUCUAAGACUGUGCGAUUGCUGUACGGCAUCGAUCCUGCAUCAUUUCCAACAGCUGAGACUCUGGGGACCUGUCUUGUUCCCCUCCCCUCUACAGGUAGAAUUACACAGAAUAUCUUUUGACUUUGUAUAGAAAUGCAUGAAGCUCAUGAGAGACCCUCAGAGGAGACAGCCUAUACCAACACACGGACUCAUUUGGAGGAUAUUUUUCAAUGUUCUUAUCGGCCGAAACAUGAAAAUUGUCUGAUUUCCUUCCACGGGAUCGAAGAUGAAGAUGUACAGAGAAUCUAAACACAGGUAUCUGCAUUGCCGCUAGCAAGUAAAACACAACAUUCUUCCAUUUAUAUAAGAAUCAAACGGACAUGUUUAAGAAAAUGUUCUUCAGUUUGAUGUAAUGCUCGCUUUUAUACACAGUAUUACAGAUGAAUUGACUCUGGAUGACUAUUUAUUUAUUUAUUUAUUUAUGGAGUUCAUGCACACUUGAAAAUGAUUCACACAGUUUCAGGUUGUUAAUGUGUAUUUGCUGAUACAUGUGAUGUCUUUAAAAGGCAUGAAGUGAAGUUAAAAUGCGCUCACAUUGUGCUUGAUGGACGAUCAGACAGAAUUAUGGAAAAACUGGUAGAAAAAAGCAGUGAUUAUCAUUUAUUAUUCAAGUUUUCAUUGCAUCACUUCUGCCUUUAAAGUUCAUAAAUAUUCUAAUAAGAUGCAUCAGUUUAUGGGAAAAUGAAAGAAAAUAAAAUAUUUUUAGCUCAAUGGCUUAAGUCAGAUGCAGAGUUAUAUCAUAACAUUUAGAGCUGCAUGAGUACGUCGACAUGCACAAAGAGCUACAUGGUCAUCAUGUUAGUGAACUAGCACUAGAAAACCUUCACGAAUAAAUGUAAAUAGACACUACUAAGGUUGAAAGCUUGAGUUAGUUUUCAUUUUCAUGAGUAUCAGCUUGUGCAUCUCUGAUUGACAAUUUUGUGCAUAAUGACGGUUUGCCUUAAAUCAUGAGGAAAUGGCAAUUUCCACGAUGUAUAGAAAUGAUCAGGUUAUCACUACUUUGUGAAAAUGUCACCUAUUGUACAUAUUCAAUACCGAUAUAGUAUGUUUUUAUUGGUGGAGGUUCAUUUAAUGGGUUGUUUUUAUAUAUAUAUAUAAAAAGUACUCUGCUCUUGUCAUGCCAAACCUUGGAGGUUUUCACAACUUUAGUUAUUUCCAGACCUGGGUCAAAAUAUGAAACUUUCUCAGUGUCUGAAACUGACAAUUUGUAAAGGUUAACACAUUAACAUGAUCACAAGAAUCUUCUCUUUUUUUUAGUACCUUUCAUUACCUGUCAUUUGUCCUCAGUAUCUGAGAGCAAAGCUGUCUUCAAAUUUAUGUUUACUAAAUAAUUUCAGUGAAUUUCUUUCCACCAAGACAUGUUAUGGUUUUGUUUUGGCACCACAUAGAAGUAUUUGUUUAAAAACAAACAAAAAAAAAAUUGAGACUUGAGACACAAGAGACAGGAAAUUAGUUUGUUGCGUUUUGGAUGCCCACCAUCCACCCCGACCUCCCCCCAGCCAAUGUUAACUGUGGUGCAGUUCAUUCACUUAAAAUGUUUAUUGGCAUUUAAACCUGACUUUUAUGAGACAGUUUCAAAAUGUGGGUCAACAACAGUUCCAUGUGACUUGACCCAGGCCUGGAAAUUUUGUGAUCAAAUCUGAACUGGCUUUUUUACAAAUUGAUUCAUGUCGGGUGAUGAGGCAGUUUGGACUGAAAUUACCUUUAUGUUUGUCAUUAAUUUAUGCAUAACAGCCCUGCAUAUUGAUUUACCUGUAACAGUCUAAUCAGUUAUUUGUUACUUGUAGAUUAAACGGAGGGAAUGGUUCAACAUUGGGGGGAAAAACAGUCCGCUCAGGAGGCGCUGAUUGUGCUACCUUUCGGUAGAGUCCUGUCUUUAUGUCAGACUAAGCUAACAAGCGACUGCAGUAGCUUCAGAUUUAGGAGUCCGAUUUGAAAGUGGUAUCGAUCUUCUGAUGCCACCCCCGCGCAAGAAAACUGUUACCAAAAUGUUGUACCAUUCCUCAAAAGAAAGGAGCUUUAGGGCAAAUAAAUAAUGGUGUACAUUAUGUAGAGAAUGGAAUGCUGUAGACCGCAGGCUUCAUUUUGUGCAUAAUAUUAUGUUUGUGUCUGUCUGUCGAUAACCUUGUGAUUUCAGAAAGUGCCUGAGAUGAAAGUGUCUCGACUUCACCAGCGGAGGUGAAGGAGAGGAAAACAUAAACCAGUGAGCAGAUCUUUCUGACUGACAAACAGGAAUACGUACCCGGAUCUACUCUGCUGGAUUUAUAAUGAGACUGGAUUUCUACUACAUGGCUUAAUUAAUAACAACAAUAAUAAAAGUUUUGUCUCGGGUGAGAUGUUCCUACUUGUUUCCCAGAAUAAGGACAAUGAAAGUUUAGUAAGCACAUGGACAGGUCUUACGAAUGUAUCCAUAUUUGGUGUAAAAGUUGAAUAUUCCUACUAUGCUCAUUGUUUACUUAUCUUUCUUAAAGCAAUGUAUUCUGAACUAUUCUUUAUGUUUUAUUUAUGUGUAUGCAAAAUCUAUUUAAACUCAAUGUAAAGUCUCUUGUGGGUGACAAAUGGAAGGGUUAAAAGUUUUUCAGCCUGCAAAUUUUAUUAAAAAAAAAAAGAAGAAAGAAACAUUAAA